RNAcentral lists this unclassified non-coding RNA (459 nucleotides) under Blastobotrys sp. JCM 16824. RNAcentral's name for it is "partial contains ITS1, 5.8S rRNA and ITS2". The stretch from base 126 to 279 matches the Rfam family "5.8S ribosomal RNA". The record is from RNAcentral. Lineage: Eukaryota; Fungi; Ascomycota; Dipodascomycetes; Dipodascales; Trichomonascaceae.
UUUCUGUGAACUGCUAAAGGCUCUAUUUUUGGACCUUUUGUUUGCCUUCGGGUUGGUUUUAUUAUCAACCCGAAAGAUAAAACUCCAAUAAAUUUUUGUCAAAAAAUCAUAAACAAGAAAUUCAAAACUUUCAACAACGGAUCUCUUGGUUCUCGCAUCGAUGAAGAACGCAGCGAAAUGCGAUACGUAAUGUGAAUUGCAGAAUUUUGUGAAUCAUCGAAUCUUUGAACGCACAUUGCGCCUUUUGGUAUUCCAGAAGGCAUGCCUGUUUCAGCGUCAUUUCUCUCUCACCUUGGUGGUUUUGUUGUAUCUCUCUACCCUUUUUUUUUAGGGAAGAGAGUGCAAUGAAAGGAAAUGGCAGAGCUUUGAUUCUGUGGUAUAAAGUGUUUUAGGUUCUACCAACUACGCUUACAACCUGGAUCAAUAAGCCGGCUUGAUAAGUCUUUUUUCAAGUUGACC